UAUAUUAUAUUGUUUAUCCGGGCACCUUGCACAGCCAAUGACACGGUAUUGGAAGGAAGACCCUGCUAUGUCGGAUCAGACGGCCUGCAGGGGAAUACGCACGACAACAGGAUGUGGAGAAAAAAUUGCGGUAAUCAGGGGUCGUAAAUGCACUGUACUUGCAAUAUUACGAUAUAUCCAAAACUAUAAAUGACACAGGUUGUAGAUUCACCUCUGGAGUCUGGAGCUAUUAAAAUAUUCUAAAAACUCUCUACUGAAGCCAGUAUCCUUACAGCAAAAAUUGAAGCCAUCAAAAAGGAAAAUGUCUGGGGAUACCCAAGCAAAUCUAUCUCCAUUAAAAGUACUUGUUAUAAGUGACUAUCUCGGCACUGAAGAAAACCUAUUUAGAUGUUAUUUAUAAUUUUUACAAUUCUA
Molecule: long non-coding RNA, 414 nt
Organism: Melanaphis sacchari
Lineage: Eukaryota; Metazoa; Arthropoda; Insecta; Hemiptera; Aphididae
Exons: 3
Source: RefSeq, a predicted model, not a curated record